CUGGCGGCGUGCCUAAUACAUGCAAGUCGAGCGAAUGGAUUGAGAGCUUGCUCUCAAGAAGUUAGCGGCGGACGGGUGAGUAACACGUGGGUAACCUGCCCAUAAGACUGGGAUAACUCCGGGAAACCGGGGCUAAUACCGGAUAACAUUUUGAACUGCAUGGUUCGAAAUUGAAAGGCGGCUUCGGCUGUCACUUAUGGAUGGACCCGCGUCGCAUUAGCUAGUUGGUGAGGUAAUGGCUCACCAAGGCAACGAUGAGUAGCCGACCUGAGAGGGUGAUCGGCCACACUGGGACUGAGACACGGCCCAGACUCCUACGGGAGGCAGCAGUAGGGAAUCUUCCGCAAUGGACGAAAGUCUGACGGAGCAACGCCGCGUGAGUGAUGAAGGCUUUCGGGUCGUAAAACUCUGUUGUUAGGGAAGAACAAGUGUUAGUUGAAUAAGCUGGCACCUUGACGGUACCUAACCAGAAAGCCACGGCUAACUACGUGCCAGCAGCCGCGGUAAUACGUAGGUGGCAAGCGUUAUCCGGAAUUAUUGGGCGUAAAGCGCGCGCAGGUGGUUUCUUAAGUCUGAUGUGAAAGCCCACGGCUCAACCGUGGAGGGCCAUUGGAAACUGGGAGACUUGAGUGCAGAAGAGGAAAGUGGAAUUCCAUGUGUAGCGGUGAAAUGCGUAGAGAUAUGGAGGAACACCAGUGGCGAAGGCGACUUUCUGGUCUGUAACUGACACUGAGGCGCGAAAGCGCGGGGAGCAAACAGGAUUAGAUACCCUGGUAGUCCACGCCGUAAACGAUGAGUGCUAAGUGUUAGAAGGUUUCCGCCCUUUAGUGCUGAAGUUAACGCAUUAAGCACUCCGCCUGGGGAGUACCGGCCGCA
Molecule: ribosomal RNA, 876 nt
Filed under: uncultured Bacillus sp.
Lineage: Bacteria; Bacillati; Bacillota; Bacilli; Caryophanales; Bacillaceae
Description: bacterial SSU rRNA
Rfam family: Bacterial small subunit ribosomal RNA
Source: RNAcentral